GCUUCCCCUGGGGUCACAGACAUCACACGACUGAGCUCUAGGAGUGGCACUUGUGCAUACGUGGGCCCGGCUUCCCAGACCUGCCCCUAAAAUCUCCAGGUGGUGCCCUUGCGAGCAUCACCCCCAGGGGAGCAGAAGAAGCCCAAGAGCCACGAGCAAGGCUGAGUCACACAUGGGAGGAGCCGGGACUCCCGGAUGACCACAUCCGAUCCACACCACGCUGUGCCCAGGUGACCAGUACUUGCCCCGCACUGGGCCCUGUCCUGCGGGUGGUCUGUCUCUGCAGCCAGCCCGCUAGCUGAGGACAAUCAUCACAGACAAACGGCGUCUGUGUCAGACCCAUGCUGGCAACCUUUGACUUUUCUCAGAGCUCAUUUAACGCGUGACCUCAGUGGUGGCCAGAAUGUCAAGGAACUAUAAAUAUAAAGCAUCUUGGUGGCAAAUGACAAAAGACGCAUUUGGAUCCCAGACAAAGGGAAGGAAAGGUGGACUUUCCUUGGUGUCAGAAGUGGGACCCAGAAGAGAUGGCCCCCAGAGGACAAUGACCCUUGGACUCAAGCAGAUGCCCACAGUCAGCCCCCUGCUCAUGUCAGCCUUGUAUUAGGAGUUUGUACACCCAUUUUACAGAUGCGGAGAGUGGAAGGAGGACUUUCUCAAGGUCAAGGCAGGCCCCCUGGGAGCAAUGGGGAGCGGGACAAUCAUCGUGGGCUCACCAUGGCAGGUUGCGGACACGUCUACCUCCCCCACUAGCCGGUGACCUCCCUGGGCAAGGACUGUCCCCAUCUGUUCUUACAGCCCAGCACCUAACCUGAAGACGCAGAGAAUUUUUCAACUCACUUCAAGAGCGUUCCUGGUUGCUGGCUGCCAUAAGGUCCUCAUCCGAUGAUUCCAGCAUCCGCGUCAUCUUGGUGCUGGUGUCUGCCGACUGUCGCUUCUCAUUCAUGUUGUGGCUUUCCUUGUUCUUGGGGUGAUGAGUGAUUUUCCACUGUAUCCCAGGCAAGAGACUGGAUCUUCUCCGGCCUUCUCUCUUUAGGAGGAAGUCCCUGUCGGGGUGCAGUAUUUAUGGCGCCCCCCACCCGGGCCUCCUCCUUGUAUGCAGUUAGGGAGGGAUUCAGCUGGUUAGGGAGGGAUUCGGCUCCCUCCUUGACCCACUGACGCCCUUCCUGAGAAAGUGGGGAGCAAACAGAGUGCAUGAAAGGGAACAGGAUGCUGCGCAGACCCACCUCCCCGCAGCUUGCUCUGGCUCAUCUGUGCUGAGCGAACAGAGAGGGUCACUCCCGCCAAGAGACCACCUGCUUUGGAAGACAGCCCUGUGAGCUACACCUGUAAGGAGCGUAAAUCACAUUUAAUCCUCAGGUCUGUUAUGAGGAUUACCCGAGCUCAGCACAGUCCACGGAUCCCAGGAGCUCAUUAGAAAAGCAGAUUUCAGGCCGUGCCCCAGACCCCAAGGAUGAGACUCUGAAAUUUAACGAGCUACCCAGAGGUUUCAGAUGGUCCCCGCCUCAGACACCCAGACCUGGGGAGGCAUCUGCAUUCCACCCGCCCUUACGGUGCAGAAGGCAGGCUGGCCUCCACUGCAGAUGCCAUGAGGGUGCUGCAAAGCCUAAUGGGCUGCUGCCCCUCAUGCAUUAUUUCAAGGGAUGACAGCUUUAUCCCAUGUGGAAUUUCUUCAAGAACAGCUUCUUUGAGGAUGAGCUUUUACCUUUUUUUUUUUUUUGACCUCACAUCCAAGAAUGAGUGGAAAAGUACUUGCGCAUCAUGAGUCAGAAUUCGUCAGACCCCAGAACACGGAAGAACGGAUGUAUCACCGUAAGGCCUCCCAUGGAGGACCGACCACGCACAGUGAGAACCCAGUUACGCGUGCCCCACCCCAGCCCCUCCAUCAUCCUCCGAUGCAAGAACAACUGUCAAGCAACAUCCUUCCCAUCUUUGUUACACAAAGAA
This is a long non-coding RNA of Canis lupus familiaris (dog), 1944 nucleotides long. RefSeq lists it as uncharacterized. The record is from RefSeq and is a predicted model, not a curated record. The transcript has 5 exons. Lineage: Eukaryota; Metazoa; Chordata; Mammalia; Carnivora; Canidae.